GCCUUAGAGACCAGGCAGUGAGGUCGUGUUUGGGGCGGUCCAUCGGGCUGAGCUGUGUUGUCCCCAGGAUCAUUCUGUGGAAACAGUGGCACGUGGCUCUGGAGACUUGGUCAUCAAAGGCAUCUUCCAACUUGCUGUCCCGUGGAUCACUUACUCUGGGAAGCCAGCUGCCAUCCAGGAGGAUUUCCGAGUUGGGAACUGAGGACGCCCACCCAGAGCCAGGACAGCUUGCCAGAUACCUGAGUGAGUUGCUUAGAAGUGGAUCUUGGGCAAGCCUGCCGACGACAUUCUGAGCCAAGAUCUUUAUUGCAGCUUCAAGAGAGAACCUGAGAGUGUUCUCAGAGAGAGUGACCAGC
Molecule: long non-coding RNA, 356 nt
Filed under: Mustela putorius furo (domestic ferret)
Lineage: Eukaryota; Metazoa; Chordata; Mammalia; Carnivora; Mustelidae
Description: lncRNA (ENSMPUG00000026575.1)
Source: RNAcentral